AUCCAGAUGAAGAGUCCUAAGUGGGACGAAACCCACGUCCUAGAU
This 45-nucleotide non-coding RNA is filed under the name Schistosoma curassoni. Lineage: Eukaryota; Metazoa; Platyhelminthes; Trematoda; Strigeidida; Schistosomatidae. The record is from RNAcentral.